This 765-nucleotide ribosomal RNA is filed under the name uncultured organism. Its description in RNAcentral is "SSU rRNA". It matches the Rfam family "Bacterial small subunit ribosomal RNA", at positions 33 to 781 of the family's 1533-position model. The record is from RNAcentral.
ACGCUGGCGGCGUGCCUAAUACAUGCAAGUAGAACGCUGAAGCUUGGUGCUUGCACCGAGCGGAUGAGUUGCGAACGGGUGAGUAACGCGUAGGUAACCUGCCUCUUAGCGGGGGAUAACUAUUGGAAACGAUAGCUAAUACCGCAUAAAAGUCGAUAUCGCAUGAUAUUGACUUGAAAGGUGCAAUUGCAUCACUAAGAGAUGGACCUGCGUUAUAUUAGCUAGUUGGUGAGGUAACGGCUCACCAAGGCAACGAUACAUAGCCGACCUGAGAGGGUGAUCGGCCACACUGGGACUGAGACACGGCCCAGACUCCUACGGGAGGCAGCAGUAGGGAAUCUUCGGCAAUGGGGGCAACCCUGACCGAGCAACGCCGCGUGAGUGAAGAAGGUUUUCGGAUCGUAAAGCUCUGUUGUAAGAGAAGAACGAGUGUGAGAGUGGAAAGUUCACACUGUGACGGUAACUUACCAGAAAGGGACGGCUAACUACGUGCCAGCAGCCGCGGUAAUACGUAGGUCCCGAGCGUUAUCCGGAUUUAUUGGGCGUAAAGCGAGCGCAGGCGGUUAGAUAAGUCUGAAGUUAAAGGCUGUGGCUUAACCAUAGUACGCUUUGGAAACUGUUUAACUUGAGUGCAGAAGGGGAGAGUGGAAUUCCAUGUGUAGCGGUGAAAUGCGUAGAUAUAUGGAGGAACACCGGUGGCGAAAGCGGCUCUCUGGUCUGUAACUGACGCUGAGGCUCCAAAGCGUGGGGAGCAAACAGGAUUAG